CGCCGGUGGUUUGUGUGAGCUGAGGGACUGCUUCCACUCGAGGGGUGAGGAUUUGUGGCCCCAAAGCUGUCUGGGGAUGAGUGGAGCAAGCCUGGCAUGAGCCCCAGCUGGAGUGAACCUUUCAAAUGGAGUCAGCUUCCCUCAGGGAUGAGGAUGAGCCUUCACACCCCAUGAUCCUACACACCUGCAAGCCUCUCUUGCUCAGUGCAACAUCUGAGCACAGAGCCUUGGUUGUUGUUUGCAGGUCCCAAAUUCUCCCUUUCACGUGUAACACGGUGGCAUUAAGACCAGGGCUGCUGUUCCCACCACGCAGUAGCCACGUUUGCCACUUGGGCUAAUGAAAUGCCCAUGUUGUCUAUUAGCAGGCAAUUAUCCUGUGGUAUUUUCAAGCA
Molecule: non-coding RNA, 392 nt
Organism: Lonchura striata (white-rumped munia)
Lineage: Eukaryota; Metazoa; Chordata; Aves; Passeriformes; Estrildidae
Source: RefSeq, a predicted model, not a curated record